Molecule: long non-coding RNA, 364 nt
Organism: Xiphophorus hellerii (green swordtail)
Lineage: Eukaryota; Metazoa; Chordata; Actinopteri; Cyprinodontiformes; Poeciliidae
Exons: 2
Source: RefSeq, a predicted model, not a curated record
CGCCGUGGAACAUACCCAUUGGUUGCCCGAGUUUCCAGACUCACCUCCUCCGGCUGAUCGCAAGUUCCUCCUGGAUGUUCUGACUGGCAGUCGUGCCGCUCCUCUGUCUCUGUUCUGCCUGAACCUACCUGUCCGCCCUCCGACAACACUCCCUCGCAGCCUUCUGGAUCUCUGUGGCUAAGCCCUGUUCCUCCUGGACCACAAGGAAACAAGGACCCCGAGCACUGCAGUUAUCCCUCCAAAUCUACAAACUCCUGUUCAACAAUGUGCCGACCACUCCGUGAGCCUUUCCCCCCCUGGAUAGACCCGUUAUCUUCAGUGCAUUCUAUCAUUGCUGUUGUAAUAAAUUCACUUACACUAUAUA